Molecule: ribosomal RNA, 497 nt
Filed under: uncultured bacterium
Lineage: Bacteria
Description: partial 16S ribosomal RNA
Rfam family: Bacterial small subunit ribosomal RNA
Source: RNAcentral
GAUGAACGCUGGCGGCGUGCCUAACACAUGCAAGUCGAGCGAGAAACCUGCAAUUGAAACUUCGGUAGAUUUUGCGGGCGGAAAGCGGCGGACGGGUGAGUAACGCGUAGGCAACCUGCCCUUUGCAGAGGGAUAGCAACGGGAAACUGUUAUUAAAACCUCAUAAUACCGACAUUUCAAAUGACAAGACGGUCAAAGAUUUAUCGGCAAAGGAUGGGCCUGCGUCUGAUUAGUUAGUUGGUAGGGUAAAGGCCUACCAAGGCAGCGAUCAGUAGCCGACCUGAGAGGGUGAUCGGCCACAGUGGAACUGAGACACGGUCCAAACUCCUACGGGAGGCAGCAGUGGGGAAUAUUGCACAAUGGGCGAAAGCCUGAUGCAGCAACGCCGCGUGAAGGAUGAAGGCCUUUGGGUCGUAAACUUCUGUCCUUGGGGAAGAAAAAAAUGACGGUACCCCUGGAGGAAGUCCCGGCUAACUACGUGCCAGCAGCCGCCGUAA